Molecule: ribosomal RNA, 272 nt
Filed under: uncultured bacterium
Lineage: Bacteria
Description: partial 16S ribosomal RNA
Rfam family: Bacterial small subunit ribosomal RNA
Source: RNAcentral
UACGUAGGGCGCAAGCGUUGUCCGGAAUUAUUGGGCGUAAAGAGCUCGUAGGUGGCUGGUCGCGUCGGAUGUGAAAGCUCGGGGCUUAACCCCGGGUCUGCAUUCGAUACGGGCCGGCUAGAGGUAGGUAGGGGCAAGCGGAAUUCCUGGUGUAGCGGUGAAAUGCGCAGAUAUCAGGAGGAACACCGGUGGCGAAGGCGGAUCUCUGGGCCAUUACUGACGCUGAGGAGCGAAAGCGUGGGGAGCGAACAGGAUUAGAAACCCCCGUAGUC